RNAcentral lists this ribosomal RNA (492 nucleotides) under uncultured bacterium. RNAcentral describes it as "bacterial SSU rRNA". It matches the Rfam family "Bacterial small subunit ribosomal RNA", at positions 30 to 511 of the family's 1533-position model. The record is from RNAcentral.
AUUGAACGCUGGCGGUAUGCUUAACACAUGCAAGUCGAACGGUAACAGGCCUAGCUUGCUAGGUGCUGACGAGUGGCGGACGGGUGAGUAACGCGUGGGAAUCUGCCUUAUUGUGGGGGAUAACCUGGGGAAACUCAGGCUAAUACCGCAUGAGCCCUAAGGGGGAAAGGAUGGGACCGAAAGGCCAUUCGCGAUAAGAUGAGCCUGCGUUGGAUUAGCUAGUUGGUGGGGUAAAGGCCUACCAAGGCGAGGAUCCACAGCUGGUCUGAGAGGACGAUCAGCCACACUGGGACUGAGACACGGCCCAGACUCCUACGGGAGGCAGCAGUGGGGAAUAUUGGACAAUGGGGGCAACCCUGAUCCAGCAAUACCGCGUGUGUGAAGAAGGCCUGCGGGUUGUAAAGCACUUUCAGUGGGGAGGAAGAGCUCGGUGCUAAUAGUAUCGAGUUGAGACGUUACCCACAGAAGAAGCACCGGCUAACUCUGUGCCAG